CUAUACCAGCCAAAUUUCGAAGGGUUUUGAUAUACGGAAAAAUGCUCUCAUGAAACCCCUAUGUUGUCCGGUAUCUUAGGAUCUAUACAAUAAUGAGGUGAGAUGGCAACAGAAGAGGACUCCUCACAAGAACAAGCAGUCUCCUAAGCUAUAUAGAUAUUAAUCUUUGAAUGGAUCAUUAAAAUCAGAUGACUUUAAUCGUUAUAGAAUCUAAAACAGAUUCAAGAUACAUUAAGAAAAGGAUUUUUUAAACAAAAUUCCAAUGCACUUCCUGUCUGUAACUAGAAGAAUGUACUGCACAAAUAAUAUCUUCCUGGUGCUGAGAACAUACUUCUAAGAUACCUAAUCCGGUUUGGGAAUACCUACCUUCAUUUUUAUAAUGUAUAACAUUGGAUGCACAGACCAAUGAAUUCAACAACAUGAAUCAAGCAUGAAGUAUCUAAGUAUUUUGCAAGAUUGAGUGUUAAAGCAAAGCCAUACAGAUGAUCCACUUUUGGAGUAGUUUUCUUGAACGUCGAAAGAUAUAUAAUAUUUGCUAGAAGCGAUUUUGAAAUCUUGUUUUUAGUUCAGAGGAAGUGAGAUUUUAAUAGAAGAGGCUCUUCACAAGUACAAGUCGCCACCUCAGCAAGAAACAGAUGUCAAUCAGACGUUAAUCUUGAAAUGAAUCGUUGAAAAAAAGAUGACUCUAAUUGACAUAGAAUCUACAAUACAUUUUAAGAUACUUUAGAAGAAGGAGUUUUUGUACGAAAUUUUAGCUUACUUUCAGUCUACAAUUAGAAAAAUGUACUUCGUUUAUUAUAUCUUGCUGUUGCUGAAUAGAUAGGUUUAAGGCACUUGGUGAUCAAGUUUUGGAAUACCUACCUUCAUUUUUGUAAUGUAUAACAUUACAUACACAUAGCACUGAUUUCAUCACCAUGUAUCAAUCGUGACAUAUGAUAAUAUUUUGUAAGUUUGCGUGUAAGAGCAAAGCAAUACAAAUGAUCCACUUUAAAAAUAGUUUUCUUGCUAAAAAGCUAUCUAAUACUCUUGUUUAUAGUUCAAAAUGGGGUGAGAUGGUAACAGAAGGGGUCUUUUCACAAAAACUAGCCGUCUCCUAAGUUAGAAAUAGAAGAUAAUUUUUCAGAGGAUUAUAAAGAUAAGUGAUUGUACGUAAUUUUUAUAUCGUAAUCGAUAUAGAAUAUACCAUAGAUUUCCUAUACUUAGAGAGAAUGAUUUUUUUUACACAACAUUUCAAUGCACUUCCUGUCUGCAAGUAGACGAAUGUACUACAUAUAUCAUAUCUUGUAGUAACUGAGUAUGCAUGUAUUUUGCUAGUUUGAGUGUAAGCGAAAAGCCAUACAGAUGGUCAUAUUUGCAAUAAUUUUCUUGAACUUCGAAAAAUAUAUAAAAUUUGCUUAAAGCUA
This is a long non-coding RNA of Saccostrea echinata, 1403 nucleotides long. RefSeq lists it as uncharacterized. The transcript has 2 exons. The record is from RefSeq and is a predicted model, not a curated record. Lineage: Eukaryota; Metazoa; Mollusca; Bivalvia; Ostreida; Ostreidae.